Molecule: small RNA, 18 nt
Filed under: Arabidopsis thaliana (thale cress)
Lineage: Eukaryota; Viridiplantae; Streptophyta; Magnoliopsida; Brassicales; Brassicaceae
Description: ATSL182210
Source: RNAcentral
UUUUUGUUUUCUGUUAUU